GACGAACGCUGGCGGCGUGCUUAACACAUGCAAGUCGAACGGAAAGGCCCUGCCUUUGUGGGGUGCUCGAGUGGCGAACGGGUGAGUUACACGUGAGUAACCUGCCCCUGACCUAGGGAUAUCCUAAGGAAACUGGGGCUAAUCCCGGCAAGGAGCUAUCGCCGCUUGGUGGGGGUUGGAAAGGUUCGGUGGUUGGGGAUGGACUCGCCGCUCAUCAGCUUGGUGGUGGGGUAGUGGCAUACCAAGGCCAUGAAGCGUAGCCGACCUGAGAGGGUCACCGGCCACGCUGGGACUGGGAUGCGACCCAGACUCCUACGGGAGGCAGGGGUGGAGAGUAUUACACAGUGGGCUGGAGCCAGAUGCAGCAACGCCGCGUGCGGGAUGACAGCCUGCGGGUUGUAAACCACAUUCGCCUGAGACGAAGCGAGAGUGACGGUAAUGGGUGAAUAAGCACCGGCUAACUACGUG
This 468-nucleotide ribosomal RNA is filed under the name uncultured bacterium. RNAcentral describes it as "partial 16S ribosomal RNA". It matches the Rfam family "Bacterial small subunit ribosomal RNA", at positions 28 to 507 of the family's 1533-position model. The record is from RNAcentral.